Molecule: unclassified non-coding RNA, 155 nt
Filed under: Collinsella aerofaciens ATCC 25986
Lineage: Bacteria; Bacillati; Actinomycetota; Coriobacteriia; Coriobacteriales; Coriobacteriaceae
Rfam family: Bacterial large subunit ribosomal RNA
Source: RNAcentral
GAUGAAGGACGCGGCAAGCUGCGAUAAUCCCCGGCGAGGAGCACACAUCCUUCGACCCGGGGGUCUCCGAAUGGGCGAACCCAUGCACAGCUCUGUGCAUAUCCCCACCCCGAACACAUAGGGGUGGGGAGGACAACCCGGGGAACUGAAACAUC